Molecule: long non-coding RNA, 434 nt
Filed under: Fukomys damarensis (Damara mole-rat)
Lineage: Eukaryota; Metazoa; Chordata; Mammalia; Rodentia; Bathyergidae
Description: lncRNA (ENSFDAG00000023148.1)
Source: RNAcentral
AGGUGGUCAUAAAGGCCAUUGUACUGAGCUCCAGAAGAUAGAAUGGAUGCAAACAACUGCAAUGAAGGCACACCAGACCUCCAUAGUUGCGGAGCACAUGACUUUGACCACGAGUCAUCAUGAGAUGCCAGGGCUGCUGAGGCUCUGGACCGGCUGCAGAGUUUCCUUUGGUGGUUUGGCCAAUGACUUCUCUUCAACCUCAUCCUAAGAUGGGAAAAGCUCACCUAUCACAGACUCACAGACUUCAAAUGUCCUUUUCAACUAUGUAAAAAACUAUUAAACUUUGGUCUCCAAGAAGUGUAUCUUCAUUAGCAGGACUUUAAAAGAUGAUUCCAUAGCUGCACUCAUGGACUUCGGCAAUGCUUGCCUUUGGUUCUGCUUCAUUAUUCUCUCUCUACCUUUGGCCCUACUCAGGAUCCAUACUUUCAAGCCCC